Molecule: long non-coding RNA, 495 nt
Organism: Andrographis paniculata
Lineage: Eukaryota; Viridiplantae; Streptophyta; Magnoliopsida; Lamiales; Acanthaceae
Exons: 3
Source: RefSeq, a predicted model, not a curated record
CUAACUUGUUUUUUAAGUGUUUUUUUUUUUGCAGGUAAAGCUUAUAGGAGACGAGAAGAUGCGCGAAGAUCCUUCGAACUCAAUUUCAAACCCAAGAUGUAUACGAAAGAAAAUGAUCGGACAACCGAUCCCACAAUAGGGAGUAUCUCGUACUUUUUCUUUUAAUUUAUGCUUUCCAUUUAUUUUAUUAUGUUGCAUAUAGUAAUAGAAUCAUGUUUACGUCCCGAGACUUGCAUGCAUUAAUUUUGUUUCUAAAUUUUAUACUAACUUGUUUUUUAAGUGUUUUUAUUUUGUAGGUAAAGCUUAUAGGAGACGAGAGAUGCACGAAGAUCCUUCGAACUCGAUGUCAAACCCAAGAUGCAUACGAGAGAAAAUGGCCGAUGAUCGGACGACCCAUCCCAUAAUAGGGAAAAUCUCGUACUUUUUCUUUUAAUUUAUGCUUUCCCUUUAUUUUAUUAUGUUGCAUAUAGUAAUAGAAACAUGUUUACGUCCCGG